RNAcentral lists this ribosomal RNA (696 nucleotides) under uncultured bacterium. RNAcentral describes it as "bacterial SSU rRNA". It matches the Rfam family "Bacterial small subunit ribosomal RNA", at positions 9 to 694 of the family's 1533-position model. The record is from RNAcentral.
GAGUUUGAUCCUGGCUCAGAUUGAACGCUGGCGGCAGGCCUAACACAUGCAAGUCGAACGGUAACAGAAAGCAGCUUGCUGCUUUGCUGACGAGUGGCGGACGGGUGAGUAAUGUCUGGGAAACUGCCUGAUGGAGGGGGAUAACUACUGGAAACGGUAGCUAAUACCGCAUAACGUCGCAAGACCAAAGAGGGGGACCUUCGGGCCUCUUGCCAUCGGAUGUGCCCAGAUGGGAUUAGCUUGUUGGUGGGGUAACGGCUCACCAAGGCGACGAUCCCUAGCUGGUCUGAGAGGAUGACCAGCCACACUGGAACUGAGACACGGUCCAGACUCCUACGGGAGGCAGCAGUGGGGAAUAUUGCACAAUGGGCGCAAGCCUGAUGCAGCCAUGCCGCGUGUAUGAAGAAGGCCUUCGGGUUGUAAAGUACUUUCAGCGGGGAGGAAGGGAGUAAAGUUAAUACCUUUGCUCAUUGACGUUACCCGCAGAAGAAGCACCGGCUAACUCCGUGCCAGCAGCCGCGGUAAUACGGAGGGUGCAAGCGUUAAUCGGAAUUACUGGGCGUAAAGCGCACGCAGGCGGUUUGUUAAGUCAGAUGUGAAAUCCCCGGGCUCAACCUGGGAACUGCAUCUGAUACUGGCAAGCUUGAGUCUCGUAGAGGGGGGUAGAAUUCCAGGUGUAGCGGUGAAAUGCGUAGA